GAUGAACGCUGGCGGCGUGCCUAAUACAUGCAAGUCGAGCGAACAGGCGCGGAGCUUGCUCCGUUGACGUUAGCGGCGGACGGGUGAGAAACAUGUGGAUAACCUCCCUAUCUGUCUGGGAUCUUUUCGGGACACCGGCGAUAAUACCGUAUAAUCUCUUGAAGCGCAUUGUUCAUUGGUGAAAGUCGGUUUUGCUGUCUCUUCUAGAUGGAUAUGCGCCGCAUUAGCUAGUUGGUAGGGUCACGGCUUACCAAGGCAACGAUGCGUAGCCGACCUGUGAGAGUGAUAGGCCACACGGGAGCGGAAACAGGGUCAAGGCGCCUACGGGAGGCAGCAGUAGGGAAUCUGACGCAAUGGGCGGAAGCCUGACGGAGCAACGCCGCGUGAGAGAUGAAAACCUUCGGAUCGGAAUACUCUGUUAUGAGGGAAGAACAAAUUUGGAAUGAACUAUGCACGGCGUGACGGUACCUAAUCAGAAAGCCACGGCUAACUACGUG
RNAcentral lists this ribosomal RNA (497 nucleotides) under uncultured bacterium. Its description in RNAcentral is "partial 16S ribosomal RNA". It matches the Rfam family "Bacterial small subunit ribosomal RNA", at positions 28 to 507 of the family's 1533-position model. The record is from RNAcentral.